RNAcentral lists this unclassified non-coding RNA (233 nucleotides) under Hevea brasiliensis (rubber tree). Lineage: Eukaryota; Viridiplantae; Streptophyta; Magnoliopsida; Malpighiales; Euphorbiaceae. The record is from RNAcentral.
GGUUUUUACACGUUAUACAGAAUUGAUGAAUGGGAUUAUCGAUACAGAAGAGGACGUGAAGUUGCUUAGAGAAAAGGGAAUUAUUCUGAACCACUUGAAGAGUGAUGAAGAAGUUGCAGACCUCUGGAAUGGGAUGAGCAAGUCCAUUAGACUAACCAAAGUGCCAUUCUUGGACAAGGUGAUUGAGGAUGUUAACAAGUACUACAAUGGUCGGUGGAAGAUAAAAAUUGGGG